RNAcentral lists this unclassified non-coding RNA (959 nucleotides) under Hevea brasiliensis (rubber tree). The record is from RNAcentral. Lineage: Eukaryota; Viridiplantae; Streptophyta; Magnoliopsida; Malpighiales; Euphorbiaceae.
AUCAUUUAGACACCUUCAAACUUUAAGUGACAUAUCAAUGUAGUGCCCCUGAGACACAAUGGGACAUGCACUCUCAAGGUUGGAGUAUUUACUUGCCAGUUGAGGCUUAGUUCGAGUGUAUUUAAUUUCACCAGAAUGUAGCUAAAUGGAGACUAUGUGCUCAUGGUACAGGUUCUUAAAAGGGGGAAGAUUUAGUCUGAUGACCAAGACAAACACAGAUACAUAUUAAACAAACAAAAAUGGAUCUGUAUCUGGUGAUCCUACAAAGUAUACCCAAAGCAACAAUUUCCAACAUAAGAGUACAUUGAUAGCCAGUCUCGAGAUAACACGUGUGCUAAAACACGUUUUCCCAGACAUUCGAGGGGAAACAGCAGUCAUUAGCCGAUACAUACGUCUCAACGACAACAACAUCACUACAACAGAGUGUUUGAACUAACGAGCUCUUGUUUUGACGAAUUUGGUUCUUGAAGCUUUCUUCUCCAGUUUCUCUCUUUUCUUUCGGGUCUUCUCAUCCUCUUCAGCAUCCUCUGAACCUUGAGGUAAAAAUCCUUUGAUAAGUCCGGAGAGCUUGUACGCUGCAAAUGCAGGUAUCACUAGAUAUGUGUACCAGAACUUGUCGGAGAUGAUAGAAGCCAAUUGCACGAAACAUGUAAUGUAGAUUAUAUCAUGUAAAUAUCCACAAAUUCCACCAGUACUCAUAUCAUAUCCACCAUCAAACAUCUCCCCAUCAUCACCAUAACUCGGCUUCGCCAUUGAAGCUAAUUGUUUGUACGGUAAAACAUAUGCCAAUGAAGUCAACAAUAAUCCAACAAUAUGCUUCCAUGUGAAACUUGAAUAGAAAAUUCCACCUCUCACUAAUAAAUAAAUCACGUUGCAGGCAAUGAUGACUUGAAAUAGUUUCUUCAUAUGACGAGUAUUUUCUUCCUUGCGCUUUUUUGCUCCUUGAUUCGCCAUUUCUG